Molecule: ribosomal RNA, 636 nt
Filed under: Enterobacter hormaechei subsp. hoffmannii
Lineage: Bacteria; Pseudomonadati; Pseudomonadota; Gammaproteobacteria; Enterobacterales; Enterobacteriaceae
Description: partial 23S ribosomal RNA
Rfam family: Bacterial large subunit ribosomal RNA
Source: RNAcentral
UGCUGGAGGUAUCAGAAGUGCGAAUGCUGACAUAAGUAACGAUAAAGCGGGUGAAAAGCCCGCUCGCCGGAAGACCAAGGGUUCCUGUCCAACGUUAAUCGGGGCAGGGUGAGUCGACCCCUAAGGCGAGGCCGAAAGGCGUAGUCGAUGGGAAACAGGUUAAUAUUCCUGUACUUGGUGUUACUGCGAAGGGGGGACGGAGAAGGCUAUGUCAGCCGGGCGACGGUUGUCCCGGUUUAAGCAUGUAGGCGGAGGUUCCAGGUAAAUCCGGUACCUUAUUAACGCUGAGGUGUGAUGACGAGGCACUACGGUGCUGAAGUGAUAAAUGCCCUGCUUCCAGGAAAAGCCUCUAAGCAUCAGGUAACACGAAAUCGUACCCCAAACCGACACAGGUGGUCAGGUAGAGAAUACCAAGGCGCUUGAGAGAACUCGGGUGAAGGAACUAGGCAAAAUGGUGCCGUAACUUCGGGAGAAGGCACGCUGAUAGGUAGGUGAAGUCCCUGCGGACGGAGCUGAAAUCAGUCGAAGAUACCAGCUGGCUGCAACUGUUUAUUAAAAACACAGCACUGUGCAAACACGAAAGUGGACGUAUACGGUGUGACGCCUGCCCGGUGCCGGAAGGUUAAUUGAUGGGGU